GGCAUGUUUUGACCUUUAUCGUCAAGGGCAUAACCGACUACAAGGAGAAAAAGAAGAAGGCAAUUGAUGGCUGCCUCUUUGCCCUGAUGAUAAUAUACUUUCAUCUUUCUAAAAAUAAAGGCAAGAAAAGGGCUGAAAGACCGCCAAAACCCUGGAUUAGCAACUGGAGUAAGGAGCAGUUGGUCGAAAGAAUGAAUGCAGAAACAGAGAAAAUUUUGAGGAUUGUAAAGAUGGCGCAAACAAGAGAGAAAAUGAAAAAAAUAGAGAAAACAGAAAAAAACAACAAAUCAAAAAA
Non-coding RNA from Arachis ipaensis, 295 nucleotides. Lineage: Eukaryota; Viridiplantae; Streptophyta; Magnoliopsida; Fabales; Fabaceae. The record is from RefSeq and is a predicted model, not a curated record.